UUUGCUGGACACGAAGGUGGGAAAUCUGAAUGGGAUAGGGAAUUCCCAGCAAGGUUUUGCCUUGUGAAGUUGGCUCCUCCAGGAUAUGGGAACGAGAAGUGACUUCUACCAGUAACAGCUGGGUAGAAGGCUGUGGAUGAUGCAGCCUAGAAAUUUCCUUAAGAAAAAACCUUAUGGCCUAACCACUCUGAAGCCAAUAGUAAAACUCUUCACUGGCUUUAGCACUGCCAAGAUCUAAGCCCCAAAAUAAAGUCAAUAUCAAGGAAGG
Long non-coding RNA from Pezoporus occidentalis (night parrot), 268 nucleotides. RefSeq lists it as uncharacterized. The record is from RefSeq and is a predicted model, not a curated record. The transcript is spliced from 3 exons. Lineage: Eukaryota; Metazoa; Chordata; Aves; Psittaciformes; Psittacidae.